Molecule: ribosomal RNA, 257 nt
Filed under: uncultured Pseudomonas sp.
Lineage: Bacteria; Pseudomonadati; Pseudomonadota; Gammaproteobacteria; Pseudomonadales; Pseudomonadaceae
Description: partial 16S ribosomal RNA
Rfam family: Bacterial small subunit ribosomal RNA
Source: RNAcentral
CGGCGGACGGGUGAGUAAUGCCUAGGAAUCUGCCUGGUAGUGGGGGACGAACGUUUCGAAAGGAACGCUAAUACCGCAUACGUCCUACGGAGAAAGCAGGGACCUUCGGGCCUUGCGCUAUCAGAUGAGCCUAGGUCGGAUUAGCUAGUUGGUGAGGUAAUGGCUCACCAAGGCGACGAUCCGUAACUGGUCUGAGAGGGUGAUCAGUCACACUGGAACUGAGACACGGUCCAAGACUCCUACGGGAGGCAGCAGCU